UGGGGAAUAUUGCACAAUGGGCGCAAGCCUGAUGCAGCCAUGCCGCGUGUGUGAAGAAGGCCUUCGGGUUGUAAAGCACUUUCAGCGAGGAGGAAGGUGGUGGACUUAAUACGUUCAUCAAUUGACGUUACUCGCAGAAGAAGCACCGGCUAACUCCGUGCCAGCAGCCGCGGUAAUACGGAGGGUGCAAGCGUUAAUCGGAAUUACUGGGCGUAAAGCGCACGCAGGCGGUUUGUUAAGUCAGAUGUGAAAUCCCCGGGCUCAACCUGGGAACUGCAUUUGAAAACUGGCAAGCUAGAGUCUCGUAGAGGGGGGUAGAAUUCCAGGUGUAGCGGUGAAAUGCGUAGAGAUCUGGAGGAAUACCGGUGGCGAAGGCGGCCCCCUGGACGAAGACUGACGCUCAGGUGCGAAAAGCGUGGGGAGCAAAACAGGAUUAGAUACCCUGGUAGUCCACGCUGUAAAACGAUGUCGAUUUUGGAGGUUGUGCCCUUGAGGCGUGGCUUCCGGAG
Molecule: ribosomal RNA, 509 nt
Filed under: uncultured bacterium
Lineage: Bacteria
Description: partial 16S ribosomal RNA
Rfam family: Bacterial small subunit ribosomal RNA
Source: RNAcentral